CACAUACAUCUGGUCUUCCUACGCCACUUCAACCCGAAACCCGCCAUCCCCCAAAACCCUUCUUCUCUAUUUCUCAUUUCUGUCUAGCCCUUCCCCUCUCUAAAACACGCAGUACGCGCACUAAAAAUGCCUAAACCCACCAAUCCACUACAUUCAGUUCACCUGCGUAAACUCCUCCUCCGUUGCUUCUCCACUCACUCCAAUUCUCUACUUCCUUAUCGAUCUAACUUUCCGCCGCCGCCACAGCAGCUGCAACAACCUUUUUUUCAGUCGUUCUCAUCCACUACUAAUGCGCAUUUGCUCUCCCUACAACCCCUUUUUCUCCGAUCCUUUUCUGUGCAAACUGGCCCCACUGCCAAUGGAACAAAGCCCGUCGAAGAAAACCCAGAAGAAAAUCUUGUAGCAGAAAGCCUUUCUAGCGAGCUUCUGAAAGACCCAGAUUCAGAACCUCUUCCUUUGCCACAAAGACUGGACCUUUCAUUCUCUCACAUUAUUCUCACCCCUUCUGUGAUCCUCAAUACUCUCAAUAUCUCCCCUGAUGCUGGUCGUGGCGUCAUUGAUUUCCUCAAAUGGGCAAAUUCAAGGACUGACUUCAAGCCCACUGAUGAGGUUUACUCUUAUUUUGUUGAUUUCUUCGGAAGAAGGAAGGAUUUUAAGGCUACCCAUGAAGUGCUGGUCGACGGCCAUGGAAUAGCUGGGUCGAAAUGUCUGGAGGCCCUCGUAGACAGGCUUGUUCGGGCUGGUAGACCUGCACAAGUGGUGGCAUUGUUUGAGCGUAUGGAGAAGGAUUAUGGGUUUUUGAGAAAUAUGGAUUCUUUGAAGUUGAUUGUUUCGAGUCUUUGUGAGCAUGGAUAUGCGAGCUAUGCUGAAAAAAUGGUGAAGAGUCUGUCAAGUGAGUUCUUCCCGGAUGAGUAUAUUUGUGAUGUUCUGAUUAAGGGCUGGUGUGUUGAUGAAAAAUUGGAUGAAGCAAAAAGAUUGGCCGGUGAGAUGUAUCGGGGAGGGUUCGAGAUAGGUACACUUGCUUACAAUGCAAUUUUAGCUUGCGUUUGUCAUUUGUGUAGGAAGAAGGAUCCGUUUAGGCUUCAAUCCGAAGUGGAGAAUGUGUUGAUCGAGAUGGAAAGACAUGGUGUUCCUCGCAAUGUGGAGACAUUCAAUGUGUUGAUUACCAAUUUAUGUAAGAUCAGGAAAACUGAGGAUGCAAUGAAACUGUUCCAUAGGAUAGGGGAAUGGGGGUGUUACCCAAAUGAAACUACAUUUCUUGUGCUCACGAAGAGUUUAUAUCAGGCAGCUAGGGUGGGUGAAGGUGAUGAGAUGAUCGAUAGAAUGAAAUCUGCAGGAUAUGGGGAUGCAUUGGAUAAGAAGGCAUAUUAUGAGUUUUUGAAGAUAUUGUGCGGGAUCGAGAGGAUUGAUCAUGCUAUAAGUGUUUUUGCAAAAAUGAAAGAGGAUGGGUGCAAACCGGGGAUUAAGACCUAUGACUUGUUAAUGGGAAAGUUGUGUGCAUAUGGACGUGUAGAUAAAGCUAAUGCACUUUAUAAAGAGGCCGAGAGUCGUGGGGUAGCUGUCGAGCCAAAGGAAUAUAAGGUGGAUCCUAGGUUUGUGAAGAAGAAGCCUACUGCAGUGAAGAAGGAGAAGAAAAGGGAGACACUACCCGAGAAGAUGGCCAGGAAGAGAAGAACUCUUAAAAAGUUAAGGUUAAGUUUUGUGAAGAAGCCAAAGCGAAUGAUGAGACGAUCUUAUUGAUCUCUUUGUCAUUUUAUUGUGUUGCAAUCAAAUUUUGAAGAGGGAGUUGAUGCUUUUCUUCUUCGUUGAGCUUCAGAGUGGCUUUAUAAAAAAUGCAGAGGAAACUUCAGUGACUUCGGCAGGUCGCAUAGACAGGUUAUUGAUGCCUGAAUGCAGCCCGAUAUAGAUGAUAUUCUUUCUGGAGUCGACCUUCGUAUGUCUGAAGGAUAGAUGUUAAAAUACAUCGCGAGGGAUAAAGACUUGCAACACAUUCCUGUGAUCAGUGAGCACCAGUUCUGCUGAUUUUAGAUGCUCGAGUUUUAGUUUGGUCGUCAUUCUUUUUAAUAGUGAUGUUGGCUCAAGGUCAGGUCUCGAUUGUUGUUAAGUGCCUGAGAUUAGGAGCAGCUGACUAUCUUGUCGAGCCAUUGAUUGUCAAUGAGAUGUUAAAACUUGUAGACUCGUAAACAGAGAGGGCGAAUGGUACUAUCUUGAGCAAAGCUUUUUCACAUACAUCAAACAGCGCAUCCCUGGAAAUUCAUUCACAAGAACGUGACCUUCCUAGCAGCAAUUAUAUCGCUAGAAAUCUCACAACCGAGGUACUCAAAAGAGUUCACUUGGGUGCAGAUGCUUCUAAGAAAUGAGUAUCCUAAUGACGAUACUGGUUUUCAUGCACGGACUUUAUUAUCCAGAGUAAUGAAUCGACGACUAGCUUCAGAAGACAAAGAGAGGAAGGUUGAAUAGCCAAGAUGAAUUCUUCACCCGAGGGUGAACUUAUCCCAGAAUGAUAAGAGUGAACUUAUUCUAUGCUGUUAGAAUAUAUGUAAUUCAUAGGUAUAUGACCGAUUACUGUCACGCUCGACAAAACAUUUAGAAAGAAAGUCUUAGACAAGAAUGCCAAAUCGACAACCAUGUAACAUUUAAAGUGAAACGUGAUACACACAAACACAAUGGAAAAUGUAGCAUUACCAACCAGUACAAGAAAUUGAGGAACACAAAUGAAGAAGCCCGUGCACAAGGUCAGGAACUU
Molecule: RNA transcript, 2746 nt
Organism: Olea europaea var. sylvestris
Lineage: Eukaryota; Viridiplantae; Streptophyta; Magnoliopsida; Lamiales; Oleaceae
Gene name: pentatricopeptide repeat-containing protein PNM1, mitochondrial-like
Exons: 3
Source: RefSeq, a predicted model, not a curated record